GUGCUUGUAGCUCAAAGGAUAGAGUAACAGAUUACGAAUCUGAUGGUUGAAAGUUCAAGUCUUUCCAAGCGCG
Molecule: transfer RNA, 73 nt
Filed under: Gloeochaete wittrockiana
Lineage: Eukaryota; Glaucocystophyceae; Gloeochaetales; Gloeochaetaceae
Description: tRNA-Arg
Rfam family: tRNA
About the family: Transfer RNA (tRNA) molecules are approximately 80 nucleotides in length. Their secondary structure includes four short double-helical elements and three loops (D, anti-codon, and T loops). Further hydrogen bonds mediate the characteristic L-shaped molecular structure. tRNAs have two regions of fundamental functional importance: the anti-codon, which is responsible for specific mRNA codon recognition, and the 3' end, to which the tRNAs corresponding amino acid is attached (by aminoacyl-tRNA synthetases). tRNAs cope with the degeneracy of the genetic code in two manners: having more than one tRNA (with a specific anti-codon) for a particular amino acid; and 'wobble' base-pairing, i.e. permitting non-standard base-pairing at the 3rd anti-codon position.
Source: RNAcentral